GAGUUUGAUCGUGGCUCAGGAUGAACGCUAGCGGCAGGCUUAAUACAUGCAAGUCGUGGGGCAGCAUGACUGUAGCAAUACAGUUGAUGGCGACCGGCAAACGGGUGCGGAACACGUACACAACCUUCCUUUAAGUGGGGGAUAGCCCAGGGAAACUUGGAUUAAUACCCCGUAAUAUAUAGAGACGGCAUCGUUUUUAUAUUAUAGCAGCAAUGCGCUUGAAGAUGGGUGUGCGGCUGAUUAGAUAGUUGGCGGGGUAACGGCCCACCAAGUCGACGAUCAGUAACUGGUGUGAGAGCACGACCAGUCACACGGGCACUGAGACACGGGCCCGACUCCUACGGGAGGCAGCAGUAAGGAAUAUUGGUCAAUGGACGCAAGUCUGAACCAGCCAUGCCGCGUGGAGGAUGAAGGUCCUCUGGAUUGUAAACUUCUUUUAUCUGGGAAGAAAAAAGGGAAUUCUUUCCCGUCUGACGGUACCAGAUGAAUAAGCACCGGCUAACUCCGUGCCAGCA
This 515-nucleotide ribosomal RNA is filed under the name uncultured Sphingobacterium sp. RNAcentral's name for it is "bacterial SSU rRNA". It matches the Rfam family "Bacterial small subunit ribosomal RNA", at positions 9 to 513 of the family's 1533-position model. Lineage: Bacteria; Pseudomonadati; Bacteroidota; Sphingobacteriia; Sphingobacteriales; Sphingobacteriaceae. The record is from RNAcentral.